ACCCAAAUACGCAAACUGGUAAAGCGGCUAUACUUAGGAUAUAGCGAUGUUGCAGGUUCGAAUCCUGCUUUGGGUA
This 76-nucleotide transfer RNA is filed under the name Flavobacterium nitrogenifigens. Its description in RNAcentral is "tRNA-Leu". It matches the Rfam family "tRNA". Rfam says of the family: Transfer RNA (tRNA) molecules are approximately 80 nucleotides in length. Lineage: Bacteria; Pseudomonadati; Bacteroidota; Flavobacteriia; Flavobacteriales; Flavobacteriaceae. The record is from RNAcentral.